Molecule: ribosomal RNA, 1528 nt
Filed under: Psychrobacter sp. KJF3-1
Lineage: Bacteria; Pseudomonadati; Pseudomonadota; Gammaproteobacteria; Moraxellales; Moraxellaceae
Description: bacterial SSU rRNA
Rfam family: Bacterial small subunit ribosomal RNA
Source: RNAcentral
GAGUUUGAUCCUGGCUCAGAUUGAACGCUGGCGGCAGGCUUAACACAUGCAAGUCGAGCGGAAACGAUGAUAGCUUGCUAUCAGGCGUCGAGCGGCGGACGGGUGAGUAAUACUUAGGAAUCUACCUAGUAGUGGGGGAUAGCACGGGGAAACUCGUAUUAAUACCGCAUACGACCUACGGGAGAAAGGGGGCAGUUUACUGCUCUCGCUAUUAGAUGAGCCUAAGUCGGAUUAGCUAGAUGGUGGGGUAAAGGCCUACCAUGGCGACGAUCUGUAGCUGGUCUGAGAGGAUGAUCAGCCACACCGGGACUGAGACACGGCCCGGACUCCUACGGGAGGCAGCAGUGGGGAAUAUUGGACAAUGGGGGAAACCCUGAUCCAGCCAUGCCGCGUGUGUGAAGAAGGCCUUUUGGUUGUAAAGCACUUUAAGCAGUGAAGAAGACUCCGUGGUUAAUACCCACGGACGAUGACAUUAGCUGCAGAAUAAGCACCGGCUAACUCUGUGCCAGCAGCCGCGGUAAUACAGAGGGUGCAAGCGUUAAUCGGAAUUACUGGGCGUAAAGGGAGCGUAGGUGGCUCUAUAAGUCAGAUGUGAAAUCCCCGGGCUCAACCUGGGAACUGCAUCUGAAACUGUAGAGCUAGAGUAUGUGAGAGGAAGGUAGAAUUCCAGGUGUAGCGGUGAAAUGCGUAGAGAUCUGGAGGAAUACCGAUGGCGAAGGCAGCCUUCUGGCAUAAUACUGACACUGAGGCUCGAAAGCGUGGGUAGCAAACAGGAUUAGAUACCCUGGUAGUCCACGCCGUAAACGAUGUCUACUAGUCGUUGGGUCCCUUGAGGACUUAGUGACGCAGCUAACGCAAUAAGUAGACCGCCUGGGGAGUACGGCCGCAAGGUUAAAACUCAAAUGAAUUGACGGGGGCCCGCACAAGCGGUGGAGCAUGUGGUUUAAUUCGAUGCAACGCGAAGAACCUUACCUGGUCUUGACAUAUCUAGAAUCCUGCAGAGAUGCGGGAGUGCCUUCGGGAAUUAGAAUACAGGUGCUGCAUGGCUGUCGUCAGCUCGUGUCGUGAGAUGUUGGGUUAAGUCCCGCAACGAGCGCAACCCUUGUCCUUAGUUACCAGCGGGUUAAGCCGGGAACUCUAAGGAUACUGCCAGUGACAAACUGGAGGAAGGCGGGGACGACGUCAAGUCAUCAUGGCCCUUACGACCAGGGCUACACACGUGCUACAAUGGUAGGUACAGAGGGCAGCUACACAGCGAUGUGAUGCGAAUCUCAAAAAGCCUAUCGUAGUCCAGAUUGGAGUCUGCAACUCGACUCCAUGAAGUAGGAAUCGCUAGUAAUCGCGGAUCAGAAUGCCGCGGUGAAUACGUUCCCGGGCCUUGUACACACCGCCCGUCACACCAUGGGAGUUGAUUGCACCAGAAGUGGAUAGCUUAACCUUCGGGGAGGCGUUCACCACGGUGUGGUUGAUGACUGGGGUGAAGUCGUAACAAGGUAGCCGUAGGGGAACCUGCGGCUGGAUCACCUCC